UUUAUCUUUCAAUAUCACAAUCUGUAUUUAUCAAUUCAAAGAAACAACUGUACAGAGUCAAUGAUUCGCAGUUGGUUCUGAUCAUUUUAUACAUUAUUGGUUCAUUCAUUCACCUUUUUCCAUGUUGGUAGUUUGUGUCGCCCCGGUAUGUUACAGUGAUUGUAUAGUGGAGAGAUGGGACUUCAAGACAUGCACAGCAGUACCGUAAUAGAGACUAUGUCAUUCAUGCAACCUCUUUGUCCUGAUGUGUUUGUGUGGAGGAGGUGUGGAUCGUUUUCAACCCGACUCGUGGUACAAAUCAGCAAUCUCACUUCACCACAGACUCGGAAAAGUUCAACAUAGCAAAGACAAGGGGCAGUUUUCCCAGUGUCGCCGCGGAUAAACUUCUUUUCUCGCUUGUUUUUACAGAAAAUACUUCUCAGUAAUUAUAUUUGUACAUUAUCAGGUUGCUGUAGGCAGGCAUACAGAGAGACAGGCAGGCCGAGGGCGGGAGGACAGUGGUGCUCGGGGCUCCUGGUGGGGGAGAAACUAUGGCAGCAGGUCAGCUGAAAACACCAAAUUAAAUUCAGCAUUUACUGGUUUAUCUUUGGCUGGUGGCGGAUUAACACGAAGAAAUAACUGCUUGCUCGAAUCUGCUCGGGGCACAUGAGGUUUGGGCUUAUUUCCUGCAGAAAAGUGCGUUCGACUGUCUGAUCAUGCUAAGAUGGUGAACCACAUUGAUCUGGAGCUCCAAAAAAGUAAAAAACCAAAGUGUUUUUGGUUAAUAAUCUACGGAAAAGAAUGACAUCGUCUGCAAAGAAAAAUCCCCUCUAGGUGUUUAACUAAUUCUGAUGGUUUAAAGGCAAGACUGCAUGUAUCAAUUCAGAAAUGCCAAACAGAUAUGAAGCAAAAUGUCUCAUUAACUGUAAAAAAACAAGCAUUCGGUGAUUUAACAUAAUCGAUACAAAAAUAUUGUGCUUUCUAUAUUUUUAUGCUUAAAUGAAGAGUUUCUGCAAUAGUCGAGCUUAAUCUCUCUACAUCUAUGACUAAAAUGGAUGAAACACUGCAAAUAUUAAUUGCUAGAGAGGCUUUAUGAGCGAUAAUGAAUCUAAUUUUUACUGAACAGGAUCAUUCUGAAAGAAAACUGGAGCAUUUAUAGCUAAUGAAAGGCUAAUCACCGACUGAACCGCACAUAUUCUUAUAAACGUUGUUAAAUUUAGCAGCCCUGAUUGUCCUCAGAAACAUAUAUAAACACUAGAAAACAUAAAAUUAUACUUCAGCAUUAAACUUCAGUAUAUGAGCCCUAUUUAAAGUCUGAACAUUUUAUUAUUUUCUACUCCAGGCAGUGUGUGUUUGUGUGUGUCACGACCAUUUUGAUGAAGGAAUGAUGCUUUUCUCUGCUCCUGAGUGGCAACAUGUAAACAGAAGAUGAAGAAACAGCUUCUACAUAGAAUUAAUGGACAAUGGUGGAUUGUACAGCCUCUGAUAGUUUGACACAGAGAAUGAAUUAGAGCCACAGCAACGUUUUUAAAGUUAGAAGCACCAAUUAUUACUAAUUUGGCUUAAAAAAUCGACAUCACAAACUCAUGGUGUUGCAAUUGAUGUCAUACUCUGUCAGAUAAACCCAAAAAUAUUCACUUUCUAAUGUUACAAAACUGAGAAAAAACAGCAAAUCUGCUCAUUUGAGAAGCCGAAACCAAUGGAUGAUGGGAGUUUUUUGUUGUUUCUGUGAUAUUUUUUUUUACUUCAAGCAUGAAUUUCCUGACUUGUUCACAUCACAGGCUGUGGAGAGCAUGAAACAAAAGCAAAAAAUGCUUUUCUCAGAUGGCAACUGAUCCCUAAAAGGGCCUUGGAUAAAAUGUCUUCUACCUAACUUUUGUGGAUCUGACGUCCCUCUGCAGGAUCCCCGGCACCACUGAGCACCAGGCCUCGGCUCUGCAGCAGGCCAGCGUCCCUAGUGCAAAGUAAAAGUUGCAUAAAGUCUCAUUGCUACCAUGGACAUCAUCAUCAUCGCCAUCAUCAUCAAUAACGUUAAUCCCUGAACACACCCUUCUACAAUCCUCUUAAAGUAAGACUCCGUUUUACUGCAUACUACUGAGUGGUUUUGGUUUACAAGAUGCAACAUGUCAAAGUCUGAAAACUGCACUUUCUUUACGUUAGUGGCUGAAAAUCUGCACCAGUGUCUCCCUCUGCUUAAAGAUUUCACCGUCUACCAGCUCUUAUGUCUGGUUCCAGCGUCUUUUCCAGAGAGCAGGAGGAAACGCUGAUCUCCAACAACAAAGCUUUACAUUCAUCUCCAGCGCUAAAAGAAAACACACCGACUAAAAACACAUUAAUGACAAACCCAAAGGUGUUUUAUUUGUCAUUUCAUCUGGGCUGAUGUGAACAGAACAGCAGCAGCAGACGGGCGGGUUUGCCUCGUCCGAACCACCAACUUUUAGAUUGUUUCAACCAAAUCUGAACAUGUGUUUUGAACUCCAGUCUGUCGUGGUGUCAAACAUGUCGACUUUCCCACGUUAUCUGAUACUUUGUGAUGUCAGCAUUGUGAAAUGAUGGAAAUCUGUCAGUGGGUUCGCUGUUCGCUGCUCGCUCUGUCCUCUGAGUAUCAACAGCAACGAUGUCAGAAUCUUAACUGCUUCCGUCUGCUCGUUUAAAACUCCUUUUCACUCUGACUGUGUUUGUUGUGUCCGACAUGCAUGUAAAUGAUUGCAUUGAUCUGGCAUUCCCACCUAAUACAGAUGCAUAAGAUGUCUACGGAAAAAAACAUGAAAGAAAUUACAAGUUUUUAAGAUGUUUAAAAAAAAAAAAAAAAAGAUAAGGAGAAACAGGUCGGGAGAGAAUUUAAAAUUCUGAAGUAAAACAUUUUUGAAAAACUGGAAGCAACCAGAUUUGACAACACUGUUAGCUCAUGACCUUAUUAUGAAUACAUAUAGAUAUCUAACUGCUCAAUGAAGGAAUAAUGUAAACUUUUGCAUUUAAAGUCCAACUAAAAUCAAAUUAACUCAUUCCUGUUUGCAGCCCAAACUAAGUUCAGUAAGUUUU
Long non-coding RNA from Amphiprion ocellaris (clown anemonefish), 3021 nucleotides. The record is from Ensembl. Lineage: Eukaryota; Metazoa; Chordata; Actinopteri; Pomacentridae.